AGUCCAAAGCUAAACGGCAUAUUUAUUCAUCUGCACCUGAAAGGGCUUCAUGAGCAAGAGCUUAUUUUUACGCUUCUUCAAAAAAGCAAUUCUCUCUCCUCUGGCAUCACUUUACUACCUUUAGAUAAAACAGUUCCCGCAGAAGACAAGACUCUCGGAUGGCACUUGCUUUCCCAACCGUAACGGGAUCAGAUUCUUUAUAAAAGUGACCACCUCUUCUUCACAUAAAACCAUUCGCUCAGAAUCGACAACUGCAGCCCUUCCCCAAUGCUCUU
RNAcentral lists this long non-coding RNA (275 nucleotides) under Phoenix dactylifera (date palm). RNAcentral describes it as "long non-coding RNA (PDAC_LNC006297)". The record is from RNAcentral. Lineage: Eukaryota; Viridiplantae; Streptophyta; Magnoliopsida; Arecales; Arecaceae.